RNAcentral lists this ribosomal RNA (2044 nucleotides) under Shigella flexneri. Its description in RNAcentral is "partial 23S ribosomal RNA". It matches the Rfam family "Bacterial large subunit ribosomal RNA", at positions 916 to 2925 of the family's 2925-position model. The record is from RNAcentral. Lineage: Bacteria; Pseudomonadati; Pseudomonadota; Gammaproteobacteria; Enterobacterales; Enterobacteriaceae.
CGGCAAGGGGGUCAUCCCGACUUACCAACCCGAUGCAAACUGCGAAUACCGGAGAAUGUUAUCACGGGAGACACACGGCGGGUGCUAACGUCCGUCGUGAAGAGGGAAACAACCCAGACCGCCAGCUAAGGUCCCAAAGUCAUGGUUAAGUGGGAAACGAUGUGGGAAGGCCCAGACAGCCAGGAUGUUGGCUUAGAAGCAGCCAUCAUUUAAAGAAAGCGUAAUAGCUCACUGGUCGAGUCGGCCUGCGCGGAAGAUGUAACGGGGCUAAACCAUGCACCGAAGCUGCGGCAGCGACGCUUAUGCGUUGUUGGGUAGGGGAGCGUUCUGUAAGCCUGUGAAGGUGUGCUGUGAGGUAUGCUGGAGGUAUCAGAAGUGCGAAUGCUGACAUAAGUAACGAUAAAGCGGGUGAAAAGCCCGCUCGCCGGAAGACCAAGGGUUCCUGUCCAACGUUAAUCGGGGCAGGGUGAGUCGACCCCUAAGGCGAGGCCGAAAGGCGUAGUCGAUGGGAAACAGGUUAAUAUUCCUGUACUUGGUGUUACUGCGAAGGGGGGACGGAGAAGGCUAUGUUGGCCGGGCGACGGUUGUCCCGGUUUAAGCGUGUAGGCUGGUUUUCCAGGCAAAUCCGGAAAAUCAAGGCCGAGGCGUGAUGACGAGGCACUACGGUGCUGAAGCAACAAAUGCCCUGCUUCCAGGAAAAGCCUCUAAGCAUCAGGUAACAUCAAAUCGUACCCCAAACCGACACAGGUGGUCAGGUAGAGAAUACCAAGGCGCUUGAGAGAACUCGGGUGAAGGAACUAGGCAAAAUGGUGCCGUAACUUCGGGAGAAGGCACGCUGAUACGUAGGUGAAGCGACUUGCUCGUGGAGCUGAAAUCAGUCGAAGAUACCAGCUGGCUGCAACUGUUUAUUAAAAACACAGCACUGUGCAAACACGAAAGUGGACGUAUACGGUGUGACGCCUGCCCGGUGCCGGAAGGUUAAUUGAUGGGGUUAGCGCAAGCGAAGCUCUUGAUCGAAGCCCCGGUAAACGGCGGCCGUAACUAUAACGGUCCUAAGGUAGCGAAAUUCCUUGUCGGGUAAGUUCCGACCUGCACGAAUGGCGUAAUGAUGGCCAGGCUGUCUCCACCCGAGACUCAGUGAAAUUGAACUCGCUGUGAAGAUGCAGUGUACCCGCGGCAAGACGGAAAGACCCCGUGAACCUUUACUAUAGCUUGACACUGAACAUUGAGCCUUGAUGUGUAGGAUAGGUGGGAGGCUUUGAAGUGUGGACGCCAGUCUGCAUGGAGCCGACCUUGAAAUACCACCCUUUAAUGUUUGAUGUUCUAACGUGGACCCGUGAUCCGGGUUGCGGACAGUGUCUGGUGGGUAGUUUGACUGGGGCGGUCUCCUCCUAAAGAGUAACGGAGGAGCACGAAGGUUGGCUAAUCCUGGUCGGACAUCAGGAGGUUAGUGCAAUGGCAUAAGCCAGCUUGACUGCGAGCGUGACGGCGCGAGCAGGUGCGAAAGCAGGUCAUAGUGAUCCGGUGGUUCUGAAUGGAAGGGCCAUCGCUCAACGGAUAAAAGGUACUCCGGGGAUAACAGGCUGAUACCGCCCAAGAGUUCAUAUCGACGGCGGUGUUUGGCACCUCGAUGUCGGCUCAUCACAUCCUGGGGCUGAAGUAGGUCCCAAGGGUAUGGCUGUUCGCCAUUUAAAGUGGUACGCGAGCUGGGUUUAGAACGUCGUGAGACAGUUCGGUCCCUAUCUGCCGUGGGCGCUGGAGAACUGAGGGGGGCUGCUCCUAGUACGAGAGGACCGGAGUGGACGCAUCACUGGUGUUCGGGUUGUCAUGCCAAUGGCACUGCCCGGUAGCUAAAUGCGGAAGAGAUAAGUGCUGAAAGCAUCUAAGCACGAAACUUGCCCCGAGAUGAGUUCUCCCUGACCCUUUAAGGGUCCUGAAGGAACGUUGAAGACGACGACGUUGAUAGGCCGGGUGUGUAAGCGCAGCGAUGCGUUGAGCUAACCGGUACUAAUGAACCGUGAGGCUUAACCUUACAACGCCGAAG